AGGAUGAAAUAAUGCUUCCAUAUUGUGGGAACCGUAUUCAUGUCUGUCCCUAGGAGUGCUGGUUCAAUGACUAGGGUGAUUAUUGCAAACAAAUAGCUGCAGAGAAGAUUCCAAGAAAGGAAGUCACACACACAAGAAUAGUGAGGAAAAGAGGCGGUAGAAGUGAGUUCUGACAAAAUUGCUCUGCUAAAGUGUUCUUUGACCCACAGUGGCAUGUUCUCCAAUUCUCUAAAUUAUACGGCAAGGAACAGAGAGGAAGAAUGAGACUCCAUGGAAGAAGAACUGACACAACUCAGUCAACUGACUGUAGAAAACCAAGAAAGGAGGGAAGGAACUUCCAGUCUGCACGAAUGGAAGAAUACCGAUUUUAUUUAUAGAAACUGACAAGAAGCACUUUGUACCAUGUGAUACCACAGUGCUCUGCCUGAUU
This is a long non-coding RNA of Eptesicus fuscus (big brown bat), 430 nucleotides long. RefSeq lists it as uncharacterized. The transcript has 3 exons. NCBI's taxonomy places the organism in Eukaryota, Metazoa, Chordata, Mammalia, Chiroptera, Vespertilionidae. The record is from RefSeq and is a predicted model, not a curated record.